RNAcentral lists this ribosomal RNA (761 nucleotides) under Prevotella melaninogenica. Its description in RNAcentral is "bacterial SSU rRNA". It matches the Rfam family "Bacterial small subunit ribosomal RNA", at positions 28 to 776 of the family's 1533-position model. The record is from RNAcentral. Lineage: Bacteria; Pseudomonadati; Bacteroidota; Bacteroidia; Bacteroidales; Prevotellaceae.
GAUGAACGCUAGCUACAGGCUUAACACAUGCAAGUCGAGGGGAAACGGCAUUUAGUGCUUGCACCGAAUGGACGUCGACCGGCGCACGGGUGAGUAACGCGUAUCCAACCUACCCAUUACUGUGGGAUAACCUGCCGAAAGGCAGACUAAUACCGCAUGGUCUUCGAUGACGGCAUCAGAUUUGAAGUAAAGAUUUAUCGGUAAUGGAUGGGGAUGCGUCUGAUUAGCUUGUUGGCGGGGUAACGGCCCACCAAGGCAACGAUCAGUAGGGGUUCUGAGAGGAAGGUCCCCCACAUUGGAACUGAGACACGGUCCAAACUCCUACGGGAGGCAGCAGUGAGGAAUAUUGGUCAAUGGGCGCGAGCCUGAACCAGCCAAGUAGCGUGCAGGAUGACGGCCCUAUGGGUUGUAAACUGCUUUUGUAUGGGGAUAAAGUUAGGGACGUGUCCCUAUUUGCAGGUACCAUACGAAUAAGGACCGGCUAAUUCCGUGCCAGCAGCCGCGGUAAUACGGAAGGUCCGGGCGUUAUCCGGAUUUAUUGGGUUUAAAGGGAGCGUAGGCCGGAGAUUAAGUGUGUUGUGAAAUGUAGACGCUCAACGUCUGACUUGCAGCGCAUACUGGUUUCCUUGAGUACGCACAACGUUGGCGGAAUUCGUCGUGUAGCGGUGAAAUGCUUAGAUAUGACGAAGAACUCCGAUUGCGAAGGCAGCUGACGGGAGCGCAACUGACGCUUAAGCUCGAAGGUGCGGGUAUCGAACAGG